ACGGGAGGCAGCAGUGGGGAAUCUUCCGCAAUGGGCGAAAGCCUGACGGAGCAACGCCGCGUGAGUGAAGAAGGUCUUCGGAUCGCAAAGCUCUGUUGAGAGGGACGAGAGAUAACUUCAGGAAAUGGGAGUUAGAGGACGGUACCUUUCGAGGAAGCCACGGCUAACUACGUGCCAGCAGCCGCGGUAAUACGUAUGUGGCGAGCGUUGUCCGGAAUUAUUGGGCGUAAAGGGAGCGCAGGUGGGAAAGUAAGUCAGUCUUAAAAGUGCGGGGCUCAACCCCGUGAUGGGAUUGAAACUACUUUUCUUGAGUGCAGGAGAGGAAAGCGGAAUUCCUAGUGUAGCGGUGAAAUGCGUAGAUAUUAGGAGGAACACCAGUGGCGAAGGCGGCUUUCUGGACCAAAACUGACGUUGAGGCGCGAAAGUGUGGGGAGCAAACAGGAUUAGAUACCCUGGUA
This 458-nucleotide ribosomal RNA is filed under the name uncultured Anaerovibrio sp. Its description in RNAcentral is "partial 16S ribosomal RNA". It matches the Rfam family "Bacterial small subunit ribosomal RNA", at positions 341 to 792 of the family's 1533-position model. Lineage: Bacteria; Bacillati; Bacillota; Negativicutes; Selenomonadales; Selenomonadaceae. The record is from RNAcentral.